Mycena galericulata is the source of this 95-nucleotide non-coding RNA. NCBI's taxonomy places the organism in Eukaryota, Fungi, Basidiomycota, Agaricomycetes, Agaricales, Mycenaceae. The record is from the annotation of a GenBank genome assembly.
AGCCCAGUGGUGUACUGGUAACACAUCCUCUUUAAUUAUUGGACUAUGAACCAAGUGUUCGGAGGAAGCACCCUGUUCGAUUCGGGGCUGGGCCA